RNAcentral lists this long non-coding RNA (264 nucleotides) under Elaeis guineensis (African oil palm). RNAcentral describes it as "long non-coding RNA (EGUI_LNC016998)". The record is from RNAcentral. Lineage: Eukaryota; Viridiplantae; Streptophyta; Magnoliopsida; Arecales; Arecaceae.
ACUCAAUCAUGAUCCAUCAAGUAUUUUGCUUUCACCCUAAUUAAGAGAUUCUUCUUUCAACUACUUCUCUUAUGUUUUUCAAAUAUAGAUUAUGAAAGGACUCAAACCUAACUAUAACCCAUCAAAAUUUUUCACAAAAAAAAGAAAAAAUGACUUUAAAAGAUUUGUGGGCCUUGUACCUAUUAUCCCCUCUUGUACCAAAUCAAGUAUAAAUUAUGAAGAAAUUUUGAUCCAACUAUAGCCCAUUAAGUCUCUUGGCAAGGG